UACGUAGGCAGCAAGCGUUGUUCGGAAUUACUGGGCGUAAAGGGUGUGUAGGCGGUGCUCUAAGUUCGGUGUGAAAUCUCCCGGCUUAACUGGGAGGGUGCGCCGGAAACUGGAGUGCUCGAGCGUGGGAGAGGAAAGCGGAAUUCCUGGUGUAGCGGUGAAAUGCGUAGAUAUCAGGAGGAACACCUGCGGUGUAGACGGCUUUCUGGACCAUUGCUGACGCUGAGACACGAAAGCGUGGGUAGCAAACAGG
Molecule: ribosomal RNA, 253 nt
Filed under: uncultured bacterium
Lineage: Bacteria
Description: partial 16S ribosomal RNA
Rfam family: Bacterial small subunit ribosomal RNA
Source: RNAcentral